AUGAAUUUAACAUACUGGGGUGGAGAAUUGGUAAUCUCCUCUUUUUACAGGCCCUUUAAUGCAAAAACAGUCGUCUUCUCUUUCAGCUCUCUGUUCUUCGGGUUGAUUGAGAUUAUUCUCCCUCCCUUUUGUUAUCAUCUCCUAGAAUAGAUGUUUUUGUUGAUUUUGAGCGUUCUUCCAGAUCGGGAUAAUCUGUUUCUCGAACAUGCCCGAAACUUAUCAUCCUGCGCGGUAAGAUUUACUAGUUGUAUUACUUAUUAGUCUCUCUAUUGGCGCACUGUGAUCUGAUUGUAAUCCUCCCCUAGACCACUAGUGGAUUUCUCGGUGGGUGAUGUUUCAUCUUCACCUCUUUCUAGACUCUACUCUAUCAUCUCCUACUUUGUUGUACAAAUCUCUGAUUUGUGCUCUUGUGUUUGUUUCUCCAAGAACUUGUCAAACCAACCAGGAGGGACUCUUUACUCACACAUGUUUUAAAGAUAUGUGAUGCCAAAUCUUUUACCAGCCCAUCGAGAGUAGAUUACAAGCCGUCUCAUGGUGCUGUUUCAGGCAGGGAGAAACAUAUAUGGAUUUGCCAGUUUUGCUUUCUUUAAAACAGUUUUAUGUUAACAUACUACGAAUUUACAAACCCCUGUUUUUUUGCCUUGCCUUCUUAUCUUUUAACCAACGCUAAGAAAUAUGAUGAGCUAAAAUUUUCGACAAUCAGUAACUAACCUGCUCGUCUUCUUGCCACCAUGAUGGAUGGGCCUUCACCUAUUUUCCUUCAAGUGGCAGAGUACAAGGAGUCCACCAAAUAUGGAUCGUUUAUGCCCCUCUCCAAUUCCCUUGGUUGAAUAUUAAUGCAACUCCACACAGGCAUUCUACAUUUGAUUCACAGCGAUAAUCAUGGUAGAUUGUUGAUUCAGCUGUUCAAGAUCCUCUUGCUUCUGAUAUCAAGCACACCGUACGUACAUUUCUUCUGUUUUAUCUUGUCAGCUCCUCAUGAUUAAUGAUAUAAAGUGUUGCAUCUUUAUAAAGUUACUCGAGAAUGCCAGGAGAAUUGCUGCCAAAAGUUAUAGUGUCUCUGCAUGCUAGGAUCAAUGAGGGAUUUCCUUUUAAAAAUGAUAAGACUGGUCUGCUGGGAAGCAAUAGGAGGAUAAAUAUAUUGGUAUUUCUCUGGACGGUACAAGCAUUGAACAAGCGUCUACCCGCGACUCCUUGACCUCGGUGCGUAUAACAGCAUCAUGGGCUUUGGCCAAUGUAUGCGACUCUCUGCGAUGUUGUCAAAGGUGUGGAGCAUACUUUACAAAGUCUGCAUUAUGACAGAGAGACGACUCCAACAAAUUUCAGAUAUAAGAGAUCGCUCGAGAAUCAGUUGUCUAAGGAUAUGCAUGAUGAAAACGGAGAUAUCUCUUACACUUGGGUUCACUAAUCCCACUGGGAUGUACGUAGCGGCGAUGCAAACGAUCCUGGCACAUAUCUGGUAUCAUUUGACGAUGGGACUGCUAGCUAUCUGCAUCGGUUUUUGUUACAUAUUCCAGUUCUAUAUCUUUUCUUCUGUCUAUAAGACUUUGGGGUGAUCUUUGAAAAUUUGGCAGCCCCUACCCACAAAGCUGAACUUGAGGAAGAAAAAGGCCAGGGAAGGAAGAUCUUCUGGUGUUCUUUAAACUCUAACUGCAUCGGUUUUUGUUACAUAUCCCAGUUCUAUAUCUUUUCUUCUGUCUAUAAGACUUUGGGGUGAUCUUUGAAAAUUUGGCAGCCCCUACCCACAAAGCUGAACUUGAGGAAGAAAAAGGCCAGGGAAGGAAGAUCUUCUGGUGUUCUUUAAACUCUAACUGCAUCGGUUUUUGUUACAUAUCCCAGUUCUAUAUCUUUUCUUCUGUCUAUAAGACUUUGGGGUGAUCUUUGGCAGCCCCUACCCACAAAGCUGAACUUGAGGAAGAAAAGGGCCAGGGAAGGAAGAUCUUCUGGUGAGAUUGAACACUUUCCAGUACCUUCAAGGGUGACUGUAAGGCGAAGAUCUACUGGAUCAGUGACAGAACAUAAAGAUUCAGGGGUGUAGCAAAUCCAUACAUAAAGCCUUCAAAGAGAGUAAUACAAAAAGUAUGUGGAAAGUUCUACUUCUCUUGUCAGUUUCUUUGGACUUUGGGGCUUUGGAUGUUGGUAUACUCUUCUAGGGUUGGUGCUUCGAGUUCCAAGAGGCGAUGGUUAGACGAAGAGGAAGGCUUGGUAAGAUCUUGGUCGGAACGAGAGCCAAUCAAUAUAUUGAUUGUAAUGUGGAUGAUUACUCUGAUUGAACGUUUCAUUUACUUCAAACUAUUCAUUUGGUUUUCUAAUGGUGUGUAAAAGUAUCCUGCAAGGCUACUUGUAGGCUAAUCUAAAGAGCCUCAUAAUUUGGCAAGUACACUAAAAUAUUGAUUUGGAUAGCUGGGAAAGUUGAGAAAGGAUUUCACAUUUUAGGAGCA
Non-coding RNA from Camelina sativa (false flax), 2441 nucleotides. NCBI's taxonomy places the organism in Eukaryota, Viridiplantae, Streptophyta, Magnoliopsida, Brassicales, Brassicaceae. The record is from RefSeq and is a predicted model, not a curated record.